This 419-nucleotide ribosomal RNA is filed under the name Streptomyces sp. E10(2015). RNAcentral's name for it is "bacterial SSU rRNA". It matches the Rfam family "Bacterial small subunit ribosomal RNA", at positions 33 to 454 of the family's 1533-position model. The record is from RNAcentral. Lineage: Bacteria; Bacillati; Actinomycetota; Actinomycetes; Kitasatosporales; Streptomycetaceae.
ACGCUGGCGGCGUGCUUAACACAUGCAAGUCGAACGAUGAAGCCGCUUCGGUGGUGGAUUAGUGGCGAACGGGUGAGUAACACGUGGGCAAUCUGCCCUUCACUCUGGGACAAGCCCUGGAAACGGGGUCUAAUACCGGAUAAUACUCUGUUCCGCAUGGAACGGGGUUGAAAGCUCCGGCGGUGAAGGAUGAGCCCGCGGCCUAUCAGCUUGUUGGUGGGGUAAUGGCCUACCAAGGCGACGACGGGUAGCCGGCCUGAGAGGGCGACCGGCCACACUGGGACUGAGACACGGCCCAGACUCCUACGGGAGGCAGCAGUGGGGAAUAUUGCACAAUGGGCGAAAGCCUGAUGCAGCGACGCCGCGUGAGGGAUGACGGCCUUCGGGUUGUAAACCUCUUUCAGCAGGGAAGAAGCGCA